Molecule: ribosomal RNA, 227 nt
Filed under: uncultured bacterium
Lineage: Bacteria
Description: partial 16S ribosomal RNA
Rfam family: Bacterial small subunit ribosomal RNA
Source: RNAcentral
UGAGCAAUCUGCCCUUCACAUCGGAAUAACCAUUGGAAACGAUGGCUAAUACCGAAUAUGACUUCGGAUCGCAUGAUCUGAAGUGGAAAGCUCCGGCGGAGAAGGAUGAGCUCGCGGCCUAUCAGCUAGUUGGUGUGGGUAAUGGCCCACCAAGGCGACGACGGGUAGCCGGCCUGAGAGGGUGACCGGCCACACUGGGACUGAGACACGGCCCAGAUCCGUACGGG